This 400-nucleotide ribosomal RNA is filed under the name uncultured bacterium. RNAcentral's name for it is "bacterial SSU rRNA". It matches the Rfam family "Bacterial small subunit ribosomal RNA", at positions 359 to 776 of the family's 1533-position model. The record is from RNAcentral.
GAAUCUUGGACAAUGGGCGCAAGCCUGAUCCAGCCAUGCCGCGUGAGUGAAGAAGGCCUUAGGGUUGUAAAGCUCUUUCGCCCGCGAAGAUAAUGACGGUAGCGGGAGAAGAAGCCCCGGCUAACCCCGUGCCAGCAGCCGCGGUAAUACGGAGGGGGCUAGCGUUGUCCGGAGUCACUGGGCGUAAAGCGCGCGUAGGCGGCCUGUUAAGUUGGAUGUGAAAGCCCGGGGCUCAACCCCGGAUGCGCAUCCGAGACUGGCAGGCUGGAGUCCGGGAGAGGGCGGCGGAAUUCCCAGUGUAGAGGUGAAAUUCGUAGAUAUUGGGAAGAACACCGGUGGCGAAGGCGGCCGCCUGGCCCGGAACUGACGCUGAGGCGCGAAAGCGUGGGGAGCAAACAGG